AGCGAACGCUGGCGGCAGGCUUAACACAUGCAAGUCGAGCGGGCAUCCUUGUGGUGUCAGCGGCAGACGGGUGAGUAACGCGUGGGAACGUGCCCUUCGGUUCGGAAUAACUCAGGGAAACUUGAGCUAAUACCGGAUACGUGCGAGAGCAGAAAGGUUUAUCUGCCGAAGGAUCGGCCCGCGUCUGAUUAGCUAGUUGGUGAGGUUAUGGCUCACCAAGGCGACGAUCAGUAGCUGGUCUGAGAGGUUGAUCAGCCACACUGGGACUGAGACACGGCCCAGACUCCUACGGGAGGCAGCAGUGGGGAAUAUUGGACAAUGGGGGCAACCCUGAUCCAGCCAUGCCGCGUGAGUGAUGACGGCCUUAGGGUUGUAAAGCUCUUUUCUCCGGGACGAUAAUGACGGUACCGGAGGAAUAAGCCCCGGCUAACUUCGUG
Molecule: ribosomal RNA, 437 nt
Filed under: uncultured bacterium
Lineage: Bacteria
Description: partial 16S ribosomal RNA
Rfam family: Bacterial small subunit ribosomal RNA
Source: RNAcentral